GCGAUGGCGGCGUCCAUUCCGAAACUGUUCGAAGUACGGAAGAGCGGCUAGUGGGGUCCUGAAAUUCAAUUUUCUCUACCCAUGGUAACUUCUAACGUCUAAGAAAUUUUUAAAAUGAAGUAAGACUAACGCCUGAAAGCCACAGAGAGUUGAGAAGUACAAUCGACUUUGCUAAAUGCUGAAAAAGUAUGCUCGCUUCACACACGACGACGUCAUUUCGAAAUGUUCAGUUGUGUUACAGAGCAUACAGCAGGAUACAUAAAGUUGGACCAGUACAGCAGAUAAUAGAAGAAAAGCUUACUGCGGCAUUGCACCCCACUCAUCUCAGCGUUGAAAAUGAAAGCAUCGCCCAUAAUGUGCCAAAGGGCUCCGAGACCCACUUUAGGGUGACCAUAGAGUCCGAUGCCUUCGAAGGAAAGAAGCUUGUUGAGCAACACAGACUCGUUUAUAAGGCUUUAGAAGAGGAAAUGAAGGAUAAGAUUCGUGCACUAGCAAUUGAGACUCUGAAACCUUUACGCUGGAGCGGCGGUCCAAGUGUGAAAUCUCCGCCUUGCUUGGGAGGCAUGAAGAAUGAGCAGUCCGAGAAGAACAGCUAGGACGCUUUUUCUCGAGCGUUUUAAUGGAAUGCUUUAUUAUAGCCAUAUUGCCUCAGAACAUCAGUUCUCUCACGUUUAAAAUACACGCGGAAGAGAAAACAACAAGACCUCUGCGUCUCCUUCAACAAAAGUCGUGGGAGAGAGUCUUUCCUCGUAUCGAAGCAGCGAAAGUUCUCAUCUGGGCCAUACCUACUGCCACGCGAGGGGGAGGACAUCGUGUAAUGCCAUGGGACGAUCUCCCCCCUCUCUUUCACAAUGAUAAGCUUGUACCUGCAACGGGGAUAUUCUGCCCCCUCUGCUCGAGAGACCCCCCGCUGGUACGGCACCGCGGAGGACGGACGGACUCUCCGAC
Molecule: RNA transcript, 948 nt
Organism: Ornithodoros turicata
Lineage: Eukaryota; Metazoa; Arthropoda; Arachnida; Ixodida; Argasidae
Gene name: putative bolA-like protein K11H12.1
Exons: 8
Source: RefSeq, a predicted model, not a curated record